UACGUAGGGGGCGAGCGUUGUCCGGAAUUAUUGGGCGUAAAGAGCGUGUAGGCGGCCCGGUAAGUCCGUUCUGAAAGCCCGGGGCUCAACCCCGGGAGGCGGAUGGAUACUGUCAGGCUCGAGUUCGGAAGAGGCGAGUGGAAUUCCCGGUGUAGCGGUGAAAUGCGCAGAUAUCGGGAGGAACACCAAUGGCGAAGGCAGCUCGCUGGGACGUUACUGACGCUGAGACGCGAAAGCGUGGGGAGCAAACAGG
RNAcentral lists this ribosomal RNA (253 nucleotides) under uncultured bacterium. RNAcentral describes it as "partial 16S ribosomal RNA". It matches the Rfam family "Bacterial small subunit ribosomal RNA", at positions 524 to 776 of the family's 1533-position model. The record is from RNAcentral.